RNAcentral lists this ribosomal RNA (534 nucleotides) under Streptococcus sp. W13. Its description in RNAcentral is "bacterial SSU rRNA". It matches the Rfam family "Bacterial small subunit ribosomal RNA", at positions 8 to 524 of the family's 1533-position model. Lineage: Bacteria; Bacillati; Bacillota; Bacilli; Lactobacillales; Streptococcaceae. The record is from RNAcentral.
AGAGUUUGAUCCUGGCUCAGGACGAACGCUGGCGGCGUGCCUAAUACAUGCAAGUAGAACGCUGAAGACUUUAGCUUGCUAGAGUUGGAAGAGUUGCGAACGGGUGAGUAACGCGUAGGUAACCUGCCUACUAGCGGGGGAUAACUAUUGGAAACGAUAGCUAAUACCGCAUAACAGUGUUUAACACAUGUUAGAUGCUUGAAAGAUGCAAUUGCAUCACUAGUAGAUGGACCUGCGUUGUAUUAGCUAGUUGGUGGGGUAACGGCCUACCAAGGCGACGAUACAUAGCCGACCUGAGAGGGUGAUCGGCCACACUGGGACUGAGACACGGCCCAGACUCCUACGGGAGGCAGCAGUAGGGAAUCUUCGGCAAUGGGGGCAACCCUGACCGAGCAACGCCGCGUGAGUUAAGAAGGUUUUCGGAUCGUAAAGCUCUGUUGUAAGAGAAGAACGUGUGUGAGAGUGGAAAGUUCACACAGUGACGGUAACUUACCAGAAAGGGACGGCUAACUACGUGCCAGCAGCCGCGGUAAU